UGGGGAAUAUUGGACAAUGGGGGCAACCCUGAUCCAGCCAUGCCGCGUGAGUGAUGAAGGCCUUCGGGUUGUAAAGCUCUUUUGGCGGGGACGAUGACGACGGUACCCGCAGAAUAAGCCCCGGCUAACUUCGUGCCAGCAGCCGCGGUAAGACGAAGGGGGCUAGCGUUGUUCGGAAUUACUGGGCGUAAAGCGAGUGUAGGCGGUUGCCGUAGUCAGGUGUGAAAGCCUUGAGCUCAACUCAAGAAAUGCACUUGAUACUGGGUGACUAGAGGACCGGAGAGGAUAGUGGAAUUCCCAGUGUAGUGGUGAAAUACGUAGAGAUUGGGAAGAACACCAGUGGCGAAGGCGGCUAUCUGGACGGUUACUGACGCUAAGACUCGAAAGCGUGGGGAGCAAAACAGGAUUAGAUACCCUGGUAGUCCACGCCGUAAACGAUGGGUGCUAGACGUUGGCGAGCUUGCUCGUCAGUGUCGCAGCUAACGCGUUAAGCACCCCGCCUGGGGAGU
RNAcentral lists this ribosomal RNA (509 nucleotides) under uncultured bacterium. RNAcentral's name for it is "partial 16S ribosomal RNA". It matches the Rfam family "Bacterial small subunit ribosomal RNA", at positions 355 to 881 of the family's 1533-position model. The record is from RNAcentral.